CCGAAGCUAAACGGUUGAAAAGCUCUUUUUUCGGUUAAAAUUUAAUUCUUAAGUACCUAUCGUGUUUCGCGGUUAGAUAGCAAAACCCUAAUGGUUAUCACCGUCAAGAGCAUGAAGGUGGUUACUUGCCUACGCAGGAACGUUUCAUUCAAGGGCCGAAAAUCAGGCACUCUUGAUACCACCAGGUACGUUAAGGGAGUUGCUUCACUCUACCUAACUAUCAAGUUUCCAAUAAACCACAGUACCGCCAAUAAAACCAGAGCAACCAAGACGGCAGAUACUUCCGUUUCAAAACGUUGAACAGUCUACGGCCACACUUUGAAGACUCCAUUCCGCAACAGAAAAGCAAGCG
This 352-nucleotide long non-coding RNA is filed under the name Aedes aegypti (yellow fever mosquito). Its description in RNAcentral is "lncRNA AAEL027445". The record is from RNAcentral. Lineage: Eukaryota; Metazoa; Arthropoda; Insecta; Diptera; Culicidae.